UUCGGCGGUACAUUGGGACUCUAUACUACAGAGUUCAUGGGUGCUAAGGGUUUACUCCAAUUAUACUGGUACAUCUACUACUCGCCAUCUUUUUUCUGGGUAGACCUCACGACGAGUACGAUGCCUUAUGACGUGAGUCGAUCGAAGGCGACUUCACUACCUCCAGCUUUGAGAUAUAUUCAUGCCAUCUUGGCCCACACAUUGACCGAUCAGAGGGAAAGCACCAGAGUCGUCGGUACCACUGAUGCUUAUUUUCUAUGAAGUAUGGCCAUGAGGUGCACCUUUGAUCUUGCUUAUUUCAUCG
RNAcentral lists this long non-coding RNA (304 nucleotides) under Gossypium barbadense (sea-island cotton). RNAcentral describes it as "long non-coding RNA (GBAR_LNC008916)". The record is from RNAcentral. Lineage: Eukaryota; Viridiplantae; Streptophyta; Magnoliopsida; Malvales; Malvaceae.